Molecule: long non-coding RNA, 994 nt
Organism: Bufo gargarizans (Asiatic toad)
Lineage: Eukaryota; Metazoa; Chordata; Amphibia; Anura; Bufonidae
Exons: 2
Source: RefSeq, a predicted model, not a curated record
GGCCACGUCAGAAGAAUAUUUCUGAGAUGUCCAUAUAGUGCAUUUUGUGGGACAGUAAGCUCACAGCAAUGAAUGGAAAGGAAAGUGGCCACAUGAGGACACAACCACAGACGGACAGUCGGGGAAAUUUAUAGCAAAACACGAGCUCAGCAUAAGAAGAAAACUUGAAGAAAAGAAAAGAAGAAAAGAGUAAAGGCACUGCAAAUGAAACCAGGACAUAGCAGCCACAAAUAAACCAGCUACGAGAAGCACACAUGUACAACAGUGGGCAGCAAAGAGGUCAAGAGGCCAUAGACAUAGUCAAGUGGCGUCUUUUAUUCCCCUUAUCGGCAGGCUAAGCAAAACAAUAAAAACUCACAAGAGGUAAAAAUAUAUCAACAUUAAUGUUAAUAAUUCUCUCCUCUUGUUAGCUUUGCCCCCUGCAUGCUUACAUUAUUAGAACUGGAAUUGCUGCUAUAAAUUGGUAUAGUCCCAUGACAACAAUUGGUUUCUUAAUUCAUAUAAUAAGAACUUUACAUACAACAAAGAUAGUAUACCACCUAAAUAAGGCCUGGGCUGCUGGGCAAUUAGUCAGGUGGUACAUAUUCAUUUAUAUCAUCUGAGGAAGCUUACGCGAAACGUGCGUUGGGGCUCAUUGGAUCACUAUUCUGGUAUUUAUUUAUGGCAUUAUUUAUUUAAUAUACUACAAUUUAUUGUCCAUGUACAUUGUAUUUUAUGCACUUUGCACUUUACAAAGUAUGUACUGUAUUUGGCUCUAAUAUCUUGUCUAUGGCUGGCGAGGUCAUCUAUAUAUACUGUAUGUCUCCCACUGGGGUAUUUAUUCACUAUCUAGUACGUUUCUGGCCCUAUCCUAUAUAUUUUUUUAAUGCUGUACCUUAUUUAUCUGUGAUCCUUCCACCCUGUAUGUCAUCCACUAUUGUCUUGUAUUGUCUGUCAUUGUAUUUUAUUGGAUUUUCCCCUUUGGGAACCAUAAUAAAGUUUAUAUAUAUUGUUA